GAGCCGCAGCCCCGCGGCCGCCGGAGACGCGUUCCCGUUCCAAGGUGGCUCUGGUGCCCGGACGCUGCAGCUUCGGGAUGGUGAUUUCCGGCGUCCCGGGGUCUCUUCCCCGCUGGGCGGCAGCUCGGACCCUUCACACCCGCAUUCCCGAGCGGCGAUCACCACUGGAAGGAGAGAAAGGCUGCACAUAUGCCACUGGAAUUUCAGUCCUGCUUUCUUUCUUAAAACCUAGCUUCUGCACCGUUUACUUCGUGUCAGACAUGGGACAACCCGUAUCUGUUGGAAGUAUUCAGAGGUCUUGUGGAACUACAAAAGUUUAGGUGUUACCAUUAAAAUAGGGUAUGCGAAUAAUUUUUCAAGCUCAUUAUUAACUAACCAGGAAAGACAUCUGCAUAAUUUAAUGAAUCUUUUCCCUAAAAUCGAGAAUUCUAAAGUCAGUGUUUUAUUUUUGUUUUGUUUUGUUAUUAGGCAGAAAAUCUUGUCGGCAUUUGCUCCGAGACAUUGCCAUCUAUUAGCUAGUCCUUAGUAAUAACUUGGGUCAGGAAAUGGGGAGGAGGAUUAGAGCCAUCUACCCUGGUGUACAUAUACCUUGCUAUCAGUGGCAGCAGAAGUUCAAGUUGGGCAUCUGAGGCUUUUGAAAUCAACAAGGGUGAUUCUUUUUUUUUUUUUUUUUUUUUUUGAAGUGAAAGAAAAAGAAAAGAAAAACGUGAAAGAAACCUCAGUUUCACUAACUUAUUUAUUGUCACCUGCAGGUUCCUGAAGGAAUAGUAAAAUUAAAAAACAAAAACAAAACCAACAAACCUUGAGGCAAAUGUUUAAGAAUUCUACUGAAGUCUACUACUUUCUACUGAAGAAAGAAAACACUGCCACCUACUGGAAAAAUGUAGCCUGACACCAAGCUUUAACCUAAAAAAUGAUCUUGAUUUAGCUAAUUUUUUAGCUAUUUUUGAGAAAUACAAAGAUAAGCAUAACUGAGUUGCUAGUCCCCCUUGUUUGGUGGGUUCACAAUCCUUGUGAUUUCCCUUGCCUUUUGUCCUUUUUCUCUGAUAAUAAAGGGAGUAUAGAUAAAACCCAGUGAUGCUGCCUCAUUAUUCUAAGGAGUGAAGUCAAGACUGAAGGAAGGAAAGUAAUACUAACAGUUAAAUAUAUGUUUUUGUAUUAAAUGUGGAAUUUUCUCAUAUGAACCUUUAUCCAGCCUUUAUGGAUAAUGAUGCAGUGGCUUGGGACGCCUGGGUGGCUCAGUCAAGUGUCUGGCUUUGA
Neogale vison (American mink) is the source of this 1260-nucleotide long non-coding RNA. RefSeq lists it as uncharacterized. NCBI's taxonomy places the organism in Eukaryota, Metazoa, Chordata, Mammalia, Carnivora, Mustelidae. The record is from RefSeq and is a predicted model, not a curated record. The transcript is spliced from 3 exons.